RNAcentral lists this ribosomal RNA (471 nucleotides) under Triticum aestivum (bread wheat). RNAcentral's name for it is "partial small subunit ribosomal RNA". Lineage: Eukaryota; Viridiplantae; Streptophyta; Magnoliopsida; Poales; Poaceae. The record is from RNAcentral.
AUGAUAUAUGCUACACACACCCCUAAGAGAGAGCGCAAGCGCGCACUCAGGGACGUCUACGCGAUAGAGCCAGUCGCCCCAAAAUUUAAUCCAUGGUCGUCAUGCCCGAUCAUGUUUGAUCACCGGGAUCAUCCGACCAGUAUCCAUCACGGCGGUUCAGCCGCACUGGUCUUGGAGCCAAUAAUUGAUGGGUUCCACCUGACGCGAGUCCUGAUGGACGGUGGCAGCAGCCUCAACUUGCUCUAUCAGGAUACAGUACGCAAAAUGGGCAUUCAUCCAUCAUGGAUCAAACCCACAAAGACUACCUUCAAAGGAGUCAUACCAGGUGUAGAUGCCCGCUGUAAUGGCUCAAUCACGCUCGAGGUUGUCUUCAGAUCCCCGGACAAUUUCCGAAGCGAGGAGUUAAUCUUCGACAUAGUCCCCUUUCGCAGUGGCUAUUACACACUGCUCGGACGGACCGCAUUCGCCUGA